RNAcentral lists this microRNA (25 nucleotides) under Eptesicus fuscus (big brown bat). RNAcentral describes it as "efu-miR-9228". Lineage: Eukaryota; Metazoa; Chordata; Mammalia; Chiroptera; Vespertilionidae. The record is from miRBase by way of RNAcentral.
UUGGCUGUGAGGACCUGCUGUGUCU